UUAGUUGCCAGCGGGUAAUGCCGGGGACUUUAAGGRAACUGCCAGUGGUAARCUGGAGGAAGGUGGGGAUGAUGUCAAGUCAGCAUGGCCCUUAUGGGGUGGGCUACACACGUGCUACAAUGGUGACUACAAUAGGNUGCAAUGUCGBAAGGCUGAGSUAAUCCGUCAAAAGUCAUCUYAGUUCGGAUUGUCCUCUGCAACUCGAGGGCAUGAAGYAGGAAUCGCUAGUAAUCGUGGAUCAGCAUGCCACGGUGAAUACGUUCUC
RNAcentral lists this ribosomal RNA (265 nucleotides) under uncultured Anaplasma sp. Its description in RNAcentral is "partial 16S ribosomal RNA". The record is from RNAcentral. Lineage: Bacteria; Pseudomonadati; Pseudomonadota; Alphaproteobacteria; Rickettsiales; Anaplasmataceae.